RNAcentral lists this ribosomal RNA (301 nucleotides) under uncultured bacterium. Its description in RNAcentral is "partial 16S ribosomal RNA". It matches the Rfam family "Bacterial small subunit ribosomal RNA", at positions 509 to 807 of the family's 1533-position model. The record is from RNAcentral.
CAGUCGCCACGGGAAUACGUAGGGUGCGAGCGUUAAUCGGAAUUACUGGGCGUAAAGCGUGCGCAGGCGGUUUUGUAAGACAGGCGUGAAAUCCCCGGGCUCAACCUGGGAAUGGCGCUUGUGACUGCAAAGCUAGAGUGCGGCAGAGGGGGAUGGAAUUCCGCGUGUAGCAGUGAAAUGCGUAGAUAUGCGGAGGAACACCGAUGGCGAAGGCAAUCCCCUGGGCCUGCACUGACGCUCAUGCACGAAAGCGUGGGGAGCAAACAGGAUUAGAUACCCGCGUAGUCCCUGUCUCUUAUAC